RNAcentral lists this ribosomal RNA (301 nucleotides) under uncultured bacterium. Its description in RNAcentral is "partial 16S ribosomal RNA". It matches the Rfam family "Bacterial small subunit ribosomal RNA", at positions 509 to 807 of the family's 1533-position model. The record is from RNAcentral.
CAGUCGCCACGGUAACACAGAGGGUGCAAGCGUUAAUCGGAAUUACUGGGCGUAAAGCGCGCGUAGGUGGUUUGUUAAGUUGGAUGUGAAAUCCCCGGGCUCAACCUGGGAACUGCAUCCAAAACUGGCAAGCUAGAGUAUGGUAGAGGGUGGUGGAAUUUCCUGUGUAGCGGUGAAAUGCGUAGAUAUAGGAAGGAACACCAGUGGCGAAGGCGACCACCUGGACUGAUACUGACACUGAGGUGCGAAAGCGUGGGGAGCAAACAGGAUUAGAUACCCCAGUAGUCCCUGUCUCUUAUAC